Molecule: long non-coding RNA, 2574 nt
Filed under: Homo sapiens (human)
Lineage: Eukaryota; Metazoa; Chordata; Mammalia; Primates; Hominidae
Description: HSALNT0174069
Source: RNAcentral
GUAAACUCAAAAGCGUCUCAAUAAGGACAGCAUCUCUCUUCCAAACCUCAAUGGGUUUUGCUGGCUGCACUUCCAGGGCAAGUUGUCUUGGCCACACUUUACUUCUCUUCCACUCUCUCAAUCCCUUUCACUGGGCUUGGAGGCACAGCAACUCAGAACUACAAAGUCUGGUCUGGGCAGCAGAGUCAUUGGCUGCGCUGUACUCUCCCUCAGGGCAGUGGCAAGCUGGGACCUCUCUCAAUAGGCAAGGGACCUCCGACUCCCUGUUUUAGAUCACUUCCCCCUUGGACAAAAUUUAGACCUUUGUGUAAAAGCUGACUGAGAAAAGUGCAAUGUGUUCAUCUGUCAAGCCAAGGAUGAGAGUAAUGAAAAUUUUCCCAUCAAGGUUCACGUCCUUUGCAGAAACUUCGUUUUCAACCAUCUUGUUGGCCUUCUCUGCCCUGUUGAUAAUGCGCCCCCUAGUGGAUGCUUUACAACAUGCCCUUUGUCUUCGUAGAAACUGAGUCCUUCCGCCUGACUUCCGUUCUCGAAUCCUCAAGGUUCUUCCUCAACACUGCAGUCGGCUGACUUUCCAUUGGCUGCCAGAGUUACCUGAAAAUAAUUAUCAUCAACAUCCAGCUUACAGACCACGAACCAGAAAAAAGCCCUGUGGGUUAUGUGGAGAAGCACCAAAUCCAAGAUUAUACUACAUGACUGAAAUAUUAGUUUUAAAUGGAGUUCUUUCCAAAUUGAAUUUGAACCUGUCUUGGGUUUCAACAGUGAUCUGAGAAUUUUAAAAAUCCAUAUUUGCCUUGGGAGUAUCAAGGUAUUAAAGCUGCUUUGUAAUUUGGGGAAUAACUUCUACUAUGUUUUUAGUGUUGUGGGGUGUCUAACUACCCAGAGAUCCAUCACACAAUAACACAGUCCUUAAAAUACAGUGCCCAUGUGCUACUCCAUACAACCACAGAGGAAGAAAUCCAGAACUAGGUAUCUAGUUCUACUCAUGCAUGUGAAAGGUUCAGUUGCAAUGACACCAGGUAGAUGGCAUACGUGUCUAAUUUUUAAAUCAGAAAUCAUGACAUUUCAGCUGUGCCAAAUAAGCUAUCCCAGCUUUAAAGAUUAAAAAGAAAAGUAGGGAGAAUUAAAAGUCUGAGAUUGGUGACAAUGUUUAUCUAAAUUACUUCAAUGCAGACAUUUAAUAAUCAGAUAAAAUUACCAGACCAUCUAUAUUAUGCUUCCCUGGCUCAAAGUGAACUGAACCUUUUUGCAGAAUAGGAGGUUUUCCCCUCCACUUCUAAGUAGUUUUCCUAGCUUACCUUCUGUCUGUCUGUCCUCAACGUCAUGUGCAAACUUAAACCCACGACUGAUAUUCCACAUAAUGGAGAGACUGGAUUUAUGAAAGCAUUAGAAUAUGGAGACGUGACAAACGCAGUAAUGUUUGAAAGAAAUCUGACUUUCUUCUUACCCAAGUGGAAGUGAAAUGCAUGCAUCAUGACCACAUACAACAUGCUAGGAACAGAAAACCAAGUGCCCUUCAACGAAUCAAGCAAAGGAAAAUAAAAACCAUUUAUCCAAUCCCCAUUAGCCCCCCAAUUUUUUUCAGAAAAACAGACCAUGCAAUUAGCAAUGACUGCUCCACAUGCAGUUAUUCUGAUUAAACUUGAAAACUAUUGUGUAACUUCAAACUACUAUUACCAGGCAAGAGUUUGAAUACACAGACCAACAAGACAUAACAAUGCUUGAAAUGGUUAAAGUUUUGACCAGAGCUGCAGCAAAUUUGUUUCCCUUUCAGUGAACUGUCAAGAAAGAUUGCCAGGGACAGACUGUCUGCCCAGAGAAAGUUGUCUGUUCACUAUAACCUUGAAUGUGCCUAUUUGGCUCUCAGCGAUGAACCGCAUCAAUAGUGGUACAAAAUUAUCAAUCACAGUGUGGUGCCUUUGAAAGACCAGACAGCACUUGGGGGGAAGUGUUUUUGUUUUGUUUUUUUGUUUGUAAAUACUGGGGCCUAUGUUUCAAAAGAAUCUGGGACAGCAGAUUUUUUUGGCGUUUCCUUUCUUGGCUGGGCUAAAGAAAGCCAGGACUCCAUUCCCCAACCUGUCCCACUUCUCUCUGCUCCAACCACUUGGGUAAUACAAAAGAAAAAGAGGAUGGCAUUGGCAGCAAGCGCUGACAUCUCCCAUCUCAGUUUUUAAAAAGUGGGAAAUAGUGAGACAGAAUUAACCAUAAGGAAGUUCAAAGGAAUAAGUAAAUGUGACCCAGAUAUCCUCAGAAAGGGUGUAAAUUUAUCUCCAUGGCUCUGGCUGCCUCCUUCCCACACCAGCAUCAACACAGUUAACUGAUUUAGAGUGAGAAGAAUCAACUUGCUUUACCUAGCAAAGGCUGAGGAUCAAAUAGCCUUCACUAAGCUGAACCCAACAAUUUCAUUAAAAAUGUAAACAACUGAAAUAGUUGAUAAACCAAUAGAGCUAUUUUCAUCAUCUUCAAGACCUGCUCAGCUUGACCACUGGUCACCUAAAGGCUAAUUAACCAAUGAGUUUGCAGGUGGUUGGCUGGCUAACCAUUUACAUAGAGACUGAGCCACUAUCUCUAUGGAAC